CGUACGGGUGCGUAACACGUGUGCAACCUGCCUUUAUCUGGGGGAUAGCCUUUCGAAAGGAAGAUUAAUACUCCAUAACAUAUUGAACGGCAUCGUUUAAUAUUGAAAGCUCCGGCGGAUAGAGAUGGGCACGCGCAAGAUUAGCUAGUUGGUGAGGUAACGGCUCACCAAGGCGAUGAUCUUUAGGGGGCCUGAGAGGGUGAUCCCCCACACUGGUACUGAGACACGGACCAG
RNAcentral lists this ribosomal RNA (234 nucleotides) under uncultured bacterium. RNAcentral's name for it is "partial 16S ribosomal RNA". It matches the Rfam family "Bacterial small subunit ribosomal RNA", at positions 99 to 334 of the family's 1533-position model. The record is from RNAcentral.